AACGAACGCUGGCGGCAUGCCUAACACAUGCAAGUCGAACGAGACCUUCGGGUCUAGUGGCGCACGGGUGCGUAACGCGUGGGAACCUGCCCUUAGGUUCGGAAUAACUCCCCGAAAGGGGUGCUAAUACCGGAUAAUGUCUUCGGACCAAAGAUUUAUCGCCUUUGGAUGGGCCCGCGUUGGAUUAGCUAGUUGGUAGGGUAAAAGCCUACCAAGGCGACGAUCCAUAGCUGGUCUGAGAGGAUGAUCAGCCACACUGGGACUGAGACACGGCCCAGACUCCUCCGGGAGGGAGAAGUGGGGGAUAUUGUACAAUGGGCGAAAGCCCGAUCCACCAAUGCCCCGUGAGUGAUGAAAGCCUUUGGGGUUUAAAACUCUUUUUCCCCGGAGGUUAAUGAGAGUACCGGGGGAAUAAACUCCCGCUAACUCCCCG
Molecule: ribosomal RNA, 433 nt
Filed under: uncultured bacterium
Lineage: Bacteria
Description: partial 16S ribosomal RNA
Rfam family: Bacterial small subunit ribosomal RNA
Source: RNAcentral